GCAAGUCGAGCGUGAAAGCCUUCGGGUGAGUAGAGCGGCGGACGGGUGAGUAACGCGUGGGAAUCUACCUAGUAGUGGGGGACAACAGUCGGAAACGACUGCUAAUACCGCAUACGUCCUAUGGGAGAAAGCGGGGGAUCUUCGGACCUCGUGCUAUUAGAUGAGCCCGCGUAAGAUUAGCUAGUUGGUGGGGUAAAGGCCUACCAAGUCUACGAUCUAUAGCUGGUUUUAGAGGAUGAUC
This 241-nucleotide ribosomal RNA is filed under the name uncultured bacterium. RNAcentral's name for it is "partial 16S ribosomal RNA". It matches the Rfam family "Bacterial small subunit ribosomal RNA", at positions 57 to 305 of the family's 1533-position model. The record is from RNAcentral.